AGUUUGAUCAUGGCUCAGGAUGAACGCUAGCGGCAGGCCUAACACAUGCAAGUCGAGGGGUAGAUGGUGCUUGCACCAUUGAGACCGGCGCACGGGUGCGUAACGCGUAUGCAACCUACCUUUUGCAGGGGGAUAGCCCAGGGAAACUUGGAUUAAUACCCCAUAGUAUGAUUUACCGGCAUCGGUUGGUCAUUAAAACUACGGUGGCAAAAGAUGGGCAUGCGUUCUAUUAGCUAGUAGGUGUGGUAACGGCACACCUAGGCAACGAUAGAUAGGGGCCCUGAGAGGGGGAUCCCCCACACUGGUACUGAGACACGGACCAGACUCCUACGGGAGGCAGCAGUGAGGAAUAUUGGACAAUGGGCGGAAGCCUGAUCCAGCCAUGCCGCGUGCAGGAAGACUGCCCUAUGGGUUGUAAACUGCUUUUAUACGGGAAGAAACCUCCCCUCGUGAGGGGAGCUGACGGUACCGUAAGAAUAAGGACCGGCUAACUCCGUGCCAGCAGCCGCGGUAAUACGGAGGGUCCGAGCGUUACCCGGAAUCAUUGGGUUUAAAGGGUCCGUAGGUGGAUGAUUAAGUCAGAGGUGAAAUCCUGCGGCUCAACCGUAGAAUUGCCUUUGAUACUGGUCAUCUUGAGUCGUCGUGAAGCAGUUAGAAUAUGUAGUGUAGCGGUGAAAUGCAUAGAUAUUACAUAGAAUACCGAUUGCGAAGGCAGAUUGCUAACGACGUACUGACACUGAUGGACGAAAGCGUGGGGAGCGAACAGGAUUAGAUACCCUGGNAGUCCACGCCGUAACNAUGGUCACUAGCUGCCCGGGCNCAAGCCUGGGUGG
This 833-nucleotide ribosomal RNA is filed under the name uncultured bacterium. RNAcentral's name for it is "bacterial SSU rRNA". It matches the Rfam family "Bacterial small subunit ribosomal RNA", at positions 10 to 846 of the family's 1533-position model. The record is from RNAcentral.